RNAcentral lists this ribosomal RNA (426 nucleotides) under uncultured bacterium. RNAcentral describes it as "bacterial SSU rRNA". It matches the Rfam family "Bacterial small subunit ribosomal RNA", at positions 29 to 456 of the family's 1533-position model. The record is from RNAcentral.
AACGAACGCUGGCGGCAGGCCUAACACAUGCAAGUCGAGCGGCAGCGGGCUGUAGCAAUACAGUGCCGGCGAGCGGCGGACGGGUGAGGAAUACAUCGGAAUCUACCUUGUCGUGGGGGAUAACGUAGGGAACUUACGCUAAUACCGCAUACGAACUACGGUUGAAAGCGGAGGACCGCAAGGCUUCGCGCGAUUGGAUGAGCCGAUGUCGGAUUAGCUAGUUGGCGGGUAAUGGCCCACCAAGGCGACGAUCCGUAGCUGGUCUGAGAGGGUGAUCAGCCACACUGGAACUGAGACACGGUCCAGACUCCUACGGGAGGCAGCAGUGGGGAAUAUUGCGCAAUGGGCGAAAGCCUGACGCAGCCACGCCGCGUGAGUGAUGAAGGCCUUCGGUUGUAAGCUCUGUCGGGAGGGACGGAAAGGAGG